RNAcentral lists this ribosomal RNA (497 nucleotides) under uncultured bacterium. RNAcentral's name for it is "partial 16S ribosomal RNA". It matches the Rfam family "Bacterial small subunit ribosomal RNA", at positions 28 to 507 of the family's 1533-position model. The record is from RNAcentral.
GAUGAACGCUGGCGGCGUGCCUAAUACAUGCAAGUCGAGCGAACAGACGAGGAGCUUGCUCCUCUGACGUUAGCGGCGGACGGGUGAGUAACACGUGGAUAACCUACCUAUAAGACUGGGAUAACUUCGGGAAACCGGAGCUAAUACCGGAUAAUAUAUUGAACCGCAUGGUUCAAUAGUGAAAGACGGUUUUGCCGUCACUUAUAGAUGGAUCCGCGCCGCAUUAGCUAGUUGGUAAGGUAACGGCUUACCAAGGCAACGAUGCGUAGCCGACCUGAGAGAGUGAUCGGCCACACUGGAACUGGGCCACGGUCCAGACUCCUACAGGAGGCAGCAGUAGGGAAUCUUCCGCAAUGGACGAAAGCUUGACGGAGCAACGCCGCGUGAGUUAUGAAGGUCUUCGGAUCGUAAAACUCUGUUAUUAGGGAAAAACAAAUAUGUAAUUAACUAUGCGCGUCUUGACGGUACCUAAUCAGAAAGCCACGGCUAACUACGUG